This 253-nucleotide ribosomal RNA is filed under the name uncultured bacterium. Its description in RNAcentral is "partial 16S ribosomal RNA". It matches the Rfam family "Bacterial small subunit ribosomal RNA", at positions 524 to 776 of the family's 1533-position model. The record is from RNAcentral.
UACGUAGGGGGCGAGCGUUGUCCGGAAUCAUUGGGCGUAAAGCGCGUGUAGGCGGCCCGGUAAGUCCGCUGUGAAAGUCCAGGGCUCAACCCUGGGAUGCCGGUGGAUACUGUCGGGCUCGAGUCCGGAAGAGGCGAGUGGAAUUCCUGGUGUAGCGGUGAAAUGCGCAGAUAUCAGGAGGAACACCAAUGGCGAAGGCAGCUCGCUGGAACGUGACUGACGCUGAGACGCGAAAGCGUGGGGAGCAAACAGG